Molecule: long non-coding RNA, 124 nt
Organism: Monopterus albus (swamp eel)
Lineage: Eukaryota; Metazoa; Chordata; Actinopteri; Synbranchiformes; Synbranchidae
Exons: 3
Source: RefSeq, a predicted model, not a curated record
CUGCUGCCAAGGUUGUUUACGCGGGGUUGUGGACGUUUAUUUGCAGUGGACAUCUGAGAUCAUGAGUUCUUUGGAAUGUUAAAAAAGGUUGGAGACACCACUGACUCACCCUGGGGUAAGGAAU